UAGGGAAUCUUCCGCAAUGGACGACAGUCUGACGGAGCAACGCCGCGUGAGUGAAGAAGGACUUCGGUUCGUAAAACUCUGUUGUUAGGGAAGAAAGAAUGUAUAGUAACUAUAUACAAAAGAGACGGUACCUAACCAGAAAGCCACGGCUAACUACGUGCCAGCAGCCGCGGUAAUACGUAGGUGGCAAGCGUUGUCCGGAAUUAUUGGGCGUAAAGCGCGCGCAGGUGGUUUAGAAAGUCUGAUGUGAAAGCCCACGGCUCAACCGUGGAGGGUCAUUGGAAACUAAUAAACUUGAGUGCAGGAGAGAAAAGUGGAAUUCCUAGUGUAGCGGUGAAAUGCGUAGAGAUUAGGAGGAACACCGGUGGCGAAAGCGGCUUUUUGGCCUGCAACUGACACUGAGGCGCGAAAGCGUGGGGAGCAAACAGG
This 429-nucleotide ribosomal RNA is filed under the name Verrucomicrobiota bacterium. RNAcentral's name for it is "Verrucomicrobia bacterium partial 16S ribosomal RNA". It matches the Rfam family "Bacterial small subunit ribosomal RNA", at positions 355 to 776 of the family's 1533-position model. The record is from RNAcentral. Lineage: Bacteria; Pseudomonadati; Verrucomicrobiota.